CAAAAUGGUUAAGUAGCCGCCAGUGCGGAUUCUUGAAAAUUCCUAGUAUCCGGAUUCGCCGUCGUCGUCAACCAAGAAAUAGAACGGUACGGUAAGGAUCGUGAUUAUUCGCUAUGUCGAAUACGCAUGGGGAUUCCACGUCAUCGGAUUAUCCGUACCCACGAUGCAAUCCGCGUCUAAACGUUCGAGCAAAGUGAGAACGGUUGAUUAUAAAUUAUGGUAGCGCGGCGGGUAGAAUGCCGUCUCUCGUCCCACGAAUCUCAUGUCGAACCUGAACCAGACGCCGUCCGAGGAGGCCACGCUGCUAGCCCGGGGUUACAAGCUGAUGAAGAAGCUCGGCGAAGGCUGUUAUGCAAAAGUGUACUUAGCCGAGUACAAGCCGGAACACGAGUCGGAGAAGAACAGCACCUUGGCCUGCAAGGUGAUCGACACCGUGAAUGCACCAAAAGAUUUCGUCCGCAAGUUCCUGCCGCGCGAACUGGACAUUCUGGUGAAGCUGAACCAUCCGCACCUCGUGCACGUUCACAGCAUUUUCCAGAGGCGCACCAAGUACUUCAUAUUCAUGCGCUUGGCUGAGCACGGCGAUCUGCUUGAUUUUAUACUGAAGAACGGCGCGGUGGCGGAGAGUCAGGCCCGCGUGUGGUUCCGGCAGCUCGCUUUAGGUCUCCAGUAUCUACAUGAGAUGGAAAUAGCGCAUCGCGACAUCAAGUGCGAGAACGUUCUCCUCACGUCGAAUUACAACGUCAAGCUGGCGGACUUUGGCUUCGCUCGUUGCAUGAUCGACAGCCGUGGCAAGCGCGUCCUGAGCGACACGUACUGCGGCUCGCUGUCGUACGUGGCGCCGGAGAUCCUCCGCGGUUACCCGUACAACCCGAAGAUAUCCGACAUAUGGUCGCUGGGCGUGAUCCUCUACAUACUGUUGAACAAGGCCAUGCCGUUCGACGAGGACAAUAUAAAGCGGCUGUACGAGCUGCAGAUAGCGCGCAAGUGGAAAUUCCGCAGCAAAGUGAUGGGCAGUCUGACCGAUCACGUGAAGAAGCUCGUGACCAACCUGCUCGAGCCGGAAGUGUCGAAACGCUGGCGUUUGGAUCAGAUCGUACAGAGCGACUGGAUCGCCAUGGAUCCGCGCCUUCUGGUGCUCACGCCAGCGGAGCAGAUCGCGCUGAACAACGCGAUCGAGGAGCGCAAGAGAUACGAGGAGAAGUUCUCGAAGAGGGAACCGGUACGGGCGGAGAGCCCAAUCGUACAAUCGUUGCUCCUAAGCAUUCUUUAUAAGUCCAAGUGCCUUUUAGUGUCGUUUCCGUCGUAUAUCAUGCUUAUGAUGCGCAGAAUGAUGCUGGUCAUGCACUUGGCGUACACGCGCAUCUUGUUGUACAUUCGAUUGCGAGACUAAACCGGAAUAAUUUUGCGAAACGCGCUUUUGCCGUCGAGCGUAUCGACUUUCUUACGUUUCGUAGAUCAAGUCUAUAAUUAGGGAGAGCACGCGAGUGAUGUCACAAAAUUACGAAAGUGACUGAUUUUCAGAGACGACACAAAAUCGAGGAGACAAAAAAGAACGAAGAGCACAAAAACCACGAAUUGGAAGAGAUCAUGGUUCUCAAAGACGUCACGAAAGCGACAGUUUCCACGGUAAUACCCAUCAAAGUUUAACUUAAAAAUUGGCCCUUCCUGAUCUCCGUAAUAU
RNA transcript from Vollenhovia emeryi, 1684 nucleotides. It is a transcript of the gene named testis-specific serine/threonine-protein kinase 1-like, with no coding region annotated. The record is from RefSeq and is a predicted model, not a curated record. Lineage: Eukaryota; Metazoa; Arthropoda; Insecta; Hymenoptera; Formicidae. The transcript has 4 exons.